Molecule: ribosomal RNA, 253 nt
Filed under: uncultured bacterium
Lineage: Bacteria
Description: partial 16S ribosomal RNA
Rfam family: Bacterial small subunit ribosomal RNA
Source: RNAcentral
UACGUAGGGGGCAAGCGUUGUCCGGAAUCAUUGGGCGUAAAGAGCGUGUAGGCGGCUCGGUAAGUCCGCUGUGAAAGUCCAGGGCUCAACCCUGGGAUGCCGGUGGAUACUGCCGGGCUAGAGUCCGGAAGAGGCGAGUGGAAUUCCUGGUGUAGCGGUGAAAUGCGCAGAUAUCAGGAGGAACACCGAUGGCGAAGGCAGCUCGCUGGGACGGUACUGACGCUGAGGAGCGAAAGCGUGGGGAGCAAACAGG